AGCGAACGCUGGCGGUAGGCCUAACACAUGCAAGUCGAACGGCAGCACAGUAAGAGCUUGCUCUUACGGGUGGCGAGUGGCGGACGGGUGAGGAAUACAUCGGAAUCUACUUUUUCGUGGGGGAUAACGUAGGGAAACUUACGCUAAUACCGCAUACGACCUACGGGUGAAAGCAGGGGAUCUUCGGACCUUGCGCGUUUGAAUGAGCCGAUGUCGGAUUAGCUAGUUGGCGGGGUAAAGGCCCACCAAGGCGACGAUCCGUAGCUGGUCUGAGAGGAAGAUCAGCUACACUGGAUGAGAGACACCGUCCAGACUCCUACAGGAGGCAGCGGUGGGGAAUAUUAGACAAUGGGCACAAGCCUAAUCCAGCCAUACCGCGUGAAUGAAGAAGGCCUUCGGAUUGUAAAACCCUUUUGUUGGGAAAAAAGAACAACAGGUUAAUACGCCGCUGUUCUGACGGUACCCAAAGAAUAAGCACCGGCUAACUUCGUG
This 492-nucleotide ribosomal RNA is filed under the name uncultured bacterium. RNAcentral's name for it is "partial 16S ribosomal RNA". It matches the Rfam family "Bacterial small subunit ribosomal RNA", at positions 29 to 507 of the family's 1533-position model. The record is from RNAcentral.